This 529-nucleotide ribosomal RNA is filed under the name Quimperia sp. LV32. Its description in RNAcentral is "SSU rRNA". It matches the Rfam family "Eukaryotic small subunit ribosomal RNA", at positions 930 to 1485 of the family's 1831-position model. Lineage: Eukaryota; Metazoa; Nematoda; Chromadorea; Rhabditida; Quimperiidae. The record is from RNAcentral.
AGCCAACCUGCUGAAGUCAAAGCCUUUGCCAAGAAUGUCUUCAUUAAUCAAGAACGAAAGUCAGAGGUUCGAAGGCGAUCAGAUACCGCCCUAGUUCUGACCGUAAACGAUGCCAACCAGCGAUCCGCGGUGGUAAGUACGCCCUGGCGGGGAGCUUCCCGGAAACGAAAGUCUUUCGGUUCCGGGGGAAGUAUGGUUGCAAAGCUGAAACUUAAAGGAAUUGACGGAAGGGCACCACCAGGAGUGGAGCCUGCGGCUUAAUUUGACUCAACACGGGAAAACUCACCCGGCCCGGACACCGUGAGGAUUGACAGAUUGAGAGCUCUUUCUUGAUUCGGUGGUUGGUGGUGCAUGGCCGUUCUUAGUUGGUGGAGUGAUUUGUCUGGUUUAUUCCGAUAACGAGCGAGACUCUAGCCUACUAAAUAGUGGUCGGAUAAGGUCGGUCCAGAAGACUUCUUAGAGGGAUAAGCGGUGUUCAGCCGCACGAAGUGGGGCAAUAACAGGUCUGUGAUGCCCUUAGAUGUCCGGG